Molecule: small nucleolar RNA, 83 nt
Organism: Salvia hispanica
Lineage: Eukaryota; Viridiplantae; Streptophyta; Magnoliopsida; Lamiales; Lamiaceae
Product: small nucleolar RNA snoR27
Source: RefSeq, a predicted model, not a curated record
UUUGGAUCAGUGAUGUAUAUUACUGCGUUAUCUAUCUGUAAUGAAUUCUUUUUUGAAGAUAACUUGGUAUCCUGAGAUCCAAU